This 443-nucleotide ribosomal RNA is filed under the name uncultured bacterium. RNAcentral's name for it is "bacterial SSU rRNA". It matches the Rfam family "Bacterial small subunit ribosomal RNA", at positions 339 to 794 of the family's 1533-position model. The record is from RNAcentral.
UUACGGGAGGCAGCAGUGGGGAAUAUUGCACAAUGGGCGAAAGCCUGAUGCAGCGACGCCGCGUGAGGGAUGACGGCCUUCGGGUUGUAAACCUCUUUCAGCAGGGACGAAGCGCAAGUGACGGUACCUGCAGAAGAAGCACCGGCUAACUACGUGCCAGCAGCCGCGGUAAUACGUAGGGUGCAAGCGUUGUCCGGAAUUACUGGGCGUAAAGAGUUCGUAGGCGGUUUGUCGCGUCGUUUGUGAAAACUCACAGCUCAACUGUGAGCCUGCAGGCGAUACGGGCAGACUUGAGUACUGCAGGGGAGACUGGAAUUCCUGGUGUAGCGGUGAAAUGCGCAGAUAUCAGGAGGAACACCGGUGGCGAAGGCGGGUCUCUGGGCAGUAACUGACGCUGAGGAACGAAAGCGUGGGUAGCGAACAGGAUUAGAUACCCUGGUAGA